AGAGUUUGAUCCUGGCUCAGGAUGAACGCUAGCGGGAGGCCUAACACAUGCAAGUCGAACGGGAUUGAGAGCUUGCUCUCAUGAGAGUGGCGCACGGGUGAGUAACGCGUAUGCAACCUACCUUUAACUGAGGGAUAGCCCAUAGAAAUGUGGAUUAAUACCUCAUAGUUCUUUUGAUCCGCAUGGAUUAAAAGAUAAAGCUCCGGCGGUUAAAGAUGGGCAUGCGUGACAUUAGCUAGUUGGUAAGGUAACGGCUUACCAAGGCUACGAUGUCUAGGGGUUCUGAGAGGAUGAUCCCCCACACUGGUACUGAGACACGGACCAGACUCCUACGGGAGGCAGCAGUGAGGAAUAUUGGUCAAUGGGCGCAAGCCUGAACCAGCCAUCCCGCGUGCAGGAUGACGGCCCUAUGGGUUGUAAACUGCUUUUAUACACCAAGAAAACUUUCACGUGUGGGAGCUUGACGGUAGUGUAUGAAUAAGCAUCGGUUAACUCCGUGCCA
RNAcentral lists this ribosomal RNA (502 nucleotides) under uncultured bacterium. Its description in RNAcentral is "bacterial SSU rRNA". It matches the Rfam family "Bacterial small subunit ribosomal RNA", at positions 8 to 510 of the family's 1533-position model. The record is from RNAcentral.